CAGUAGCCGCGGUAACACGGAGGGAGCUAGCGUUGUUCGGAAUUACUGGGCGUAAAGCGCACGUAGGCGGCUUUGUAAGUUAGAGGUGAAAGCCUGGAGCUCAACUCCAGAACUGCCUUUAAGACUGCAUCGCUUGAAUCCAGUAGAGGUGAGUGGAAUUCCGAGUGUAGAGGUGAAAUUCGUAGAUAUUCGGAAGAGCACCAGUGGCGAAGGCGACUCACUGGACUGGUAUUGACGCUGAGGUGCGAAAGCGUGGGGAGCAAACAGGAUUAGAUACCCGUGUAGUCCCUGUCUCUUAUAC
RNAcentral lists this ribosomal RNA (301 nucleotides) under uncultured bacterium. Its description in RNAcentral is "partial 16S ribosomal RNA". It matches the Rfam family "Bacterial small subunit ribosomal RNA", at positions 509 to 807 of the family's 1533-position model. The record is from RNAcentral.